This 73-nucleotide unclassified non-coding RNA is filed under the name Listeria monocytogenes. Its description in RNAcentral is "LhrC". RNAcentral also lists the same sequence under 1 other name. Lineage: Bacteria; Bacillati; Bacillota; Bacilli; Caryophanales; Listeriaceae. The record is from RNAcentral.
AUAAGCUAACAACAAGCAAAACAUUUUCAUUCUUUCCCCUUUUUAGAAUGAAAAUCCCAAACUCCCUUUUUGA